GGAAGUAAAAGUCGUAACAAGAUUUCCGUAGGUGGACCUGCGGAAGGAUCAUUACCGAGUGAGGGCCCUCUGGGUCCAACCUCCCACCCGUGUUUAUUUACCUUGUUGCUUCGGCGAGCCUGCCUUUUGGCUGCCGGGGGACGUCAGUCCCCGGGUCCGUGCUCGCCGGAGACACCUUAGAACUCUGUCUGAAGAUUGUAGUCUGAGAUUAAAUAUAAAUUAUUUAAAACUUUCAACAACGGAUCUCUUGGUUCCG
Molecule: unclassified non-coding RNA, 256 nt
Filed under: plant metagenome
Description: partial contains small subunit ribosomal RNA, internal transcribed spacer 1, and 5.8S ribosomal RNA
Rfam family: Eukaryotic small subunit ribosomal RNA (bases 1-54)
Source: RNAcentral